RNAcentral lists this ribosomal RNA (770 nucleotides) under uncultured Planctomycetota bacterium. RNAcentral describes it as "bacterial SSU rRNA". It matches the Rfam family "Bacterial small subunit ribosomal RNA", at positions 51 to 830 of the family's 1533-position model. Lineage: Bacteria; Pseudomonadati; Planctomycetota. The record is from RNAcentral.
AGGCAUGCAAGUCGAACGAGGUCCGAUCGGUGGCAACACCGUGAAGUACCUAGUGGCGAACGGGUGAGUAACACGUGAGGAACCUGCCCCGAAGACCGGGAUAACUCUCCGAAAGGAGUGCUAAUACCGGAUACCCCCACCUAAUCGCAUGAUCUGGUGAGGAAAUGGAUUCCGCUUCGGGAGGGCCUCGCGGCCUAUCAGCUUGUUGGUGAGGUAACGGCUCACCAAGGCAUCGACGGGUAGCUGGUCUGAGAGGACGAUCAGCCACACUGGGACUGAGACACGGCCCAGACUCCUACGGGAGGCAGCAGUGGGGAAUCUUGCGCAAUGGGCGAAUGCCUGACGCAGCAACGCCGCGUGGGGGAUGAAGGCUCUCGGGUUGUAAACCCCUUUCAGCAGGAACGAAUCAAGACGGUACCUGCAGAAGAAGCCCCGGCUAACUACGUGCCAGCAGCCGCGGUAACACGUAGGGGGCAAGCGUUGUCCGGAUUUAUUGGGCGUAAAGAGCUCGUAGGCGGCUAAGUAAGUCGGAUGUUAAAUCCCCAGGCUCAACCUGGGACACCACCCGAUACCGCUUUGGCUAGAGUCCGGUAGGGGAGCGUGGAAUUCCUGGUGUAGCGGUGAAAUGCGCAGAUAUCAGGAGGAACACCAGCGGCGAAGGCGGCGCUCUGGGCCGGAACUGACGCUGAGGAGCGAAAGCGUGGGUAGCAAACAGGAUUAGAUACCCUGGUAGUCCACGCCGUAAACGUUGGGCACUAAGUAGAGGGGUU